This 497-nucleotide ribosomal RNA is filed under the name uncultured bacterium. RNAcentral describes it as "partial 16S ribosomal RNA". It matches the Rfam family "Bacterial small subunit ribosomal RNA", at positions 28 to 507 of the family's 1533-position model. The record is from RNAcentral.
GAUGAACGCUGGCGGCGUGCCUAAUACAUGCAAGUCGAGCGAACGGACGAGAAGCUUGCUCCUCUGAUGUUAGCGGCGGACGGGUGAGUAACACGUGGAUAACCUACCUAUAAGACUGGGAUAACUUCGGGAAACCGGAGCUAAUACCGGAUAAUAUUUUGAACCGCAUGGUUCAAAAGUGAAAGACGGUCUUGCUGUCACUUAUAGAUGGAUCCGCGCUGCAUUAGCUAGUUGGUAAGGUAACGGCUUACCAAGGCAACGAUGCAUAGCCGACCUGAGAGGGGGAUCGGCCACACUGGAACUGAGACACGGUCCAGACUCCUACGGGAGGCAGCAGUAGGGAAUCUUCCGCAAUGGGCGAAAGCCUGACGGAGCAACGCCGCGUGAGUGAUGAAGGUCUUCGGAUCGUAAAACUCUGUUAUUAGGGAAGAACAUAUGUGUAAGUAACUGUGCACAUCUUGACGGUACCUAAUCAGAAAGCCACGGCUAACUACGUG